This 991-nucleotide long non-coding RNA is filed under the name Phasianus colchicus (ring-necked pheasant). Its description in RNAcentral is "lncRNA (ENSPCLG00000001703.1)". Lineage: Eukaryota; Metazoa; Chordata; Aves; Galliformes; Phasianidae. The record is from RNAcentral.
CUGAGGCUGAGUGCCUAAUAGAAAAUACUGAGAGCAUGUGCUGGGGGAAUGGUUUCCUUCUAAAUUCUAAAUGAUUCCUUGAAAAGCCUAGAUUUAGUAAGAACACCUUUACUUUCCAAAGAAAUUUUAAGUGAGUUGUGCAUUAGGAUCUUCAUGCAGGGUUGAGGAAGGAAGAUAGGGUACUUACAGCAUAGUUUCUCCAGUAUUAGCAUCUUAGGUGCUUUAAUAGCAAGUACUACCUGAAGCUUUUCCUACAGCUGGAGAAUUUUUAUCAUCUGCUUUGCAGAUUUUCUGCCUUGCGGAGUGAGAUCAUGGGUUCAUUUUUGCAGAAGCUUUGCUCUUCUUCUGUCCACCUAUAUUCAAAUCCACCCAUAAGAACCUUUCUGUCAGGAGUGAGCUCCCUGAAUUUGGAGGGGACGACCAAAAGACACGCCGACACCAUGAAGCUGCAGGGAGGUUUCCUUCAGGAAGAAGCUUCCGCAGCCGGGAUGAACCUGUUCCCACAGCAGGUUUCAUAGCCUGUAUCCAGCGUGGCAAAAAUGGGUUGCUGACACUUUGUAUGCAAUGAAGAGAUGUUGACUUUAUAGAAAUAUUAAGUGAAUCCAUUAAUCUGUUAUGAGCAAUUGCCUUCCUGGUAAGUCCUGCAUUUUCCCAUUUAUUGUAUUUGGUCUCAGCCAAACUGUUACCAUUCCAGAACAGCAUGCCAAUAAUCAGCUCAGACAGAGGUUUUACAACUCAGAGAAAUGGGGUCUAUUAAAUUCGUCUGAACUUUAGAAAAACCAACCUGUACAAUUCCAAAUACAUCACAGUUCCAGAAAGGGAAUGACCAUUACAAUUUAUUUUAUGACUGUUUUGCCACCCAAUACAUACAUUUCAACUCUUCAUAAGGUUUUACACUGUAUUCUGUAGUAAACAACAGGCUUUACUGAAUAUCACAGAAAAGAACAAUCUUUAAUCAAGUUAAUAAAAAAAUGUGCUCAUGAUUUACGCA